This 269-nucleotide unclassified non-coding RNA is filed under the name Phylloporus sp. Its description in RNAcentral is "partial contains small subunit ribosomal RNA, internal transcribed spacer 1, and 5.8S ribosomal RNA". The stretch from base 1 to 46 matches the Rfam family "Eukaryotic small subunit ribosomal RNA", at positions 1786 to 1831 of the family's 1831-position model. Lineage: Eukaryota; Fungi; Basidiomycota; Agaricomycetes; Boletales; Boletaceae. The record is from RNAcentral.
AAGUCGUAACAAGGUUUCCGUAGGUGAACCUGCGGAAGGAUCAUUAUCAAUUUACGUUUAAUUGCUUUAUGCGGUUAUUUGUUUUUUGUGCACUGUUUUAGGUUUUUAUUUUUUUCUUUUCGUAAGAGAAUUAAAAGAUUGACUUGAAAAAAAUUUGAUUUUCUUUAUAUUUUAUAUUUUUAUUUUUUUACUUGGUUAUAACAAUAGUUAUAACUAAUUAAUUUAAUUAAAAAAAAAGACAACUUUCAGCAAUGGAUCUCUUGGCUCUU